UUUAAAGGGACACUAGCUGUCAAAUUCAUGGUCACCGAUUUGACUCAAAUUCUCGUAUUUGAUUUAUAACAAUGUAAAACAUUUAUCCAAACUAUUAAAAGUCUAAAAUAAACAGUUUACAGAGCAUGGGGUAGAUAAUAUAUAGGUUCGUUUCGUGUGUAUUUUAGUCCAGACGCCAUCUAAUUAACUAUCAAUUUGACCUCAGAUAACCAUAUAAGC
This 219-nucleotide long non-coding RNA is filed under the name Mytilus galloprovincialis (Mediterranean mussel). Lineage: Eukaryota; Metazoa; Mollusca; Bivalvia; Mytilida; Mytilidae. The record is from RNAcentral.